AGUUAUUUAGCUUAUAAAAUUUAAAGCAUAUAUUUUGAAAAUAUAAGAAAGAUUUUUUUAAUAACUU
RNAcentral lists this transfer RNA (67 nucleotides) under Mileewa alara. RNAcentral's name for it is "tRNA-Ser". Lineage: Eukaryota; Metazoa; Arthropoda; Insecta; Hemiptera; Cicadellidae. The record is from RNAcentral.